CGCGCAGGCGGUCUUGUCCGUCAGGUGUGGAAGCUCGGGGCUCAACCCCGGAAGUGCACUUGAAACAGCAAGACUUGAAUACGGGAGAGGAAAGCGGAAUUCCUGGUGUAGAGGUGAAAUUCGUAGAUAUCAGGAGGAACACCGAUGGCGAAGGCAGCUUUCUGGACCGAUAUUGACGCUGAGGCGCGAAGGCGUGGGUAGCGAACG
RNAcentral lists this ribosomal RNA (207 nucleotides) under uncultured bacterium. RNAcentral's name for it is "partial 16S ribosomal RNA". It matches the Rfam family "Bacterial small subunit ribosomal RNA", at positions 568 to 774 of the family's 1533-position model. The record is from RNAcentral.